RNAcentral lists this ribosomal RNA (455 nucleotides) under uncultured bacterium. RNAcentral describes it as "bacterial SSU rRNA". It matches the Rfam family "Bacterial small subunit ribosomal RNA", at positions 340 to 786 of the family's 1533-position model. The record is from RNAcentral.
UACGGAAGGCAGCAGUGGGGAAUAUUGCACAAUGGGCGAAAGCCUGAUGCAGCUAUGCCGCGUGUAUGAAGAAGGCCUUAGGGUUGUAAAGUACUUUCAUCGGGGAGGAAAAACAAAACUAAUAAUUUUAUUUCUUGACGUUACCCGAAAAAGAAGCACCGGCUAACUCCGUGCCAGCAGCCGCGGUAAUACGGAGGGUGCUAGUGUUAAUCAGAAUUACUGGGCGUAAAGAGCACGUAGGUGGUUUUUUUAAGUCAGAUGUGAAAUCCCUGGGCUUAACCUAGGAACUGCAUUUUGAAACUGAAAUACUAGAGUAUCGUAGAGGGAGGUAGAAUUCUAGGUGUAGCGGUGAAAUGCGUAGAUAUCUGGAGGAAUACCUGUGGCGAAAGCGGCCUCCUAAACGAAUACUGACACUGAGGUGCGAAAGCGUGGGGAGCAAACAGGGAUUAGAUACC